Long non-coding RNA from Vollenhovia emeryi, 485 nucleotides. RefSeq lists it as uncharacterized. The record is from RefSeq and is a predicted model, not a curated record. The transcript has 2 exons. NCBI's taxonomy places the organism in Eukaryota, Metazoa, Arthropoda, Insecta, Hymenoptera, Formicidae.
UAUUACGGCCCGGCUGAAGCGCCCACAAUACUUCUUAGCCGAUAGCCGGUAUGCUAAGGCGGGAAAGAACUCACUCACUGUAUAGGAUAUAUAUGAGAACUUUAUUGAGAUCUUGGUACACGGCAAGGUGAUCAGACUUGACCGUGUCAAAGGCGAGUUACGACUAACUUUUCCUGUCCCACUCGGACAGCGCCACCAACGACCAUAGACUGUGUCGUGGUGUAGAAAGGCAACUCUAAGUCGCCACACACUCCCCCCCGAGUGCUAACGCUGGAGAGAAAAUAGAAUACAAUGCUUGGUAUGACACUGGGUGUCUAUCACAAACAAUCGGCGCUGCCGAAUAUCACAAAGAAUAUUGCAGAAAUACAUGUAAUACCGCUGCUUAGAACUAGAGUGUAUACGCAGGAUGUAUCACAGAAAUUACAGACUGUUAUAAUUUGACAAUACCGCUACUUAUAGACUAACGCAUACGCAGGAUGUAUCGC